AUGCUCAACUACUCUGCUGCCUUUUGCCUUAGUGUUUAUUUUCCUGAUGAAAUUUUCUCUUCUUUUUCUCUCUCUUUUCCUGGAUGAACUUUUUUAAUUCCCUUUUUCUUCCUUUUUUUCCCCCCAUUUUUAGUUUUCUCUUCCAUUUCUCAAGAAAUAACUUCUUAUUCUAUCUCACUCACACCAAAUGCUGACAUUUGGGAAUCCCAGAUCUUAUCUGUCUCUUUUCUAGUUCCUUCCACACAUUCUAAAACAAGUCCAGAUCUAUGUACUUGCAAAAAGAAUGUCUGAUACUCUUGGUGCUAUGUAUUCGGAAGGUGCCCUCAGUGCUACUGUCAGUGCUCAACAGACUUCACAUUGUGAAGCACAGUUUUCCUUCUCAUCAAGCCACCAGCUCUAUGACAAUGGCUCUCAUUUGGGUAGGAAGCAAAGCAGAUACUGAAAAUCAAAAGAACAUUAAGAAGAGAAAAGUUGUCAUGGAAAGAGCUCUGACCCCUAAUUCAGCUGAGGCUGCCAGAGAAGGAGAGUAUCUGCCUCUUUUUUGUCAGGCACUUAGAAACUCACUUAUGGGGAAUACUAGCGAUGUAGUUUGCUUGUACAUAAAUUUCCUACCAAAAUGUAUGAAUUUUAUACAAUUUGAUAUUCUUUGUUUGAAUGAAUGAAUGAUCUCAAACUUUACUCUUUAUUUUAUUUGUCUGAUUACAUGCCUGUGUCACCAAAGCUGUGAAAUCCUGUAAGGCAGAAAAAAAAAUGUUUUCACAUAGCUAUACUUUAAGAUACCAACAUCACCUGGCGUAUGGCAGGGCACAACACAUAUUUGAUGACUAAAUGAAAAGAAUAUAAAAUAUCACCUAGCUGUACACCAAUAAUUUGAGACAUAAUUAUCAUAUCUGAGAUCUGCGUGAUUUUUUUUUGGAGACGGAAUUUUGCUCUGUUGCCCAGGCUGGAGUGCAAUGGCACAGUCUCAGCUCACUACAACC
This is a non-coding RNA of Macaca mulatta (Rhesus monkey), 980 nucleotides long. Lineage: Eukaryota; Metazoa; Chordata; Mammalia; Primates; Cercopithecidae. The record is from RefSeq and is a predicted model, not a curated record.